RNAcentral lists this long non-coding RNA (267 nucleotides) under Elaeis guineensis (African oil palm). Its description in RNAcentral is "long non-coding RNA (EGUI_LNC081682)". The record is from RNAcentral. Lineage: Eukaryota; Viridiplantae; Streptophyta; Magnoliopsida; Arecales; Arecaceae.
UGUGGCAUCUUUCUGAACUCCUCCGACCGUCCGAGCUUCCAUAAUACCAUCCGGACUUCUCCAAUCAUGAGCUUCUCCAUUCAUCUAUCGGACUGCUCCAAAUGCUCUCUGAACUUCACUUUCAGCUGAUUCUCUACAGUGGUCGACUAUUCUCCAAAUCUCUUCCAGACUUCUCCCAGCCACGAUCGACUUUACUCCGAACUUCCUCCGGACUUCGUCAAUGACCGAGCUUCUUCAGCAGCAGCACUUCUACAGUAACUAGACUCC